Molecule: non-coding RNA, 4753 nt
Organism: Macaca mulatta (Rhesus monkey)
Lineage: Eukaryota; Metazoa; Chordata; Mammalia; Primates; Cercopithecidae
Source: RefSeq, a predicted model, not a curated record
CCAUUUCUGUGCGUCGAGCUCCGCCCCACGAGCGCCCGGUUUCGGGCGGAGAGCGCGCCCCGUUUGGUACCUUGGUGUCCUAUCGCGGCUUGGGACCCGACAAGAUGGGCAAGAAGGGCAAGAAGGAGAAGAAGGGCCGCGGCGCGGAGAAGACGGCCGCCAAGAUGGAGAAGAAGGUGUCUAAGCGCUCGCGGAAGGAGGAGGAAGACCUGGAAGCGCUCAUAGCCCAUUUCCAGACGCUCGAUGCCAAGAGGACUCAGAUUGUGGAAACUCCGUGCCCCCCGCCCUCACCAAGGUUAAAUGCCUCCCUCUCGGUUCAUCCUGAGAAAGAUGAAUUAAUCCUUUUUGGAGGUGAAUAUUUCAACGGCCAAAAAACUUUUUUGUAUAACGAGCUCUAUGUCUACAAUAUCAGAAAGGACGCCUGGACCAAAGUUGACAUCCCCAGUCCACCUCCGAGGCGCUGUGCUCACCAGGCGGUGGUGGUGCCUCAAGGUGGCGGACAGCUGUGGGUCUUUGGAGGGGAGUUUGCCUCUCCCAGCGGAGAGCAGUUCUACCACUACAAGGAUCUCUGGGUCCUGCAUUUGGCCACCAAGACCUGGGAACAAGUCAAAUCAACAGGGGGUCCUUCGGGUCGGAGUGGACAUCGGAUGGUGGCCUGGAAGAGACAGUUGAUCCUUUUUGGUGGCUUCCAUGAGAGUACACGGGAUUACAUCUACUACAAUGAUGUGUACGCCUUUAAUCUGGACACCUUCACAUGGAGCAAGCUGUCCCCGUCAGGCACGGGGCCCACACCCAGAUCAGGCUGCCAGAUGUCCGUCACUCCCCAGGGCGGCAUCGUCAUCUACGGGGGCUACUCGAAACAGAGAGUUAAGAAAGACGUGGACAAGGGCAUGCGGCACUCAGACAUGUUCCUGCUGAAGCCGGAGGACGGGAGAGAAGACAAGUGGGUGUGGACUCGGAUGAACCCUUCGGGGGUCAAGCCCACCCCACGGUCUGGCUUUUCCGUGGCCAUGGCCCCGAAUCACCAGACGCUGUUCUUCGGGGGUGUCUGUGACGAGGAAGAGGAGGAGAGCCUGGCGGGCGAGUUCUUCAACGAUCUGUACUUCUACGAUGCCACCAGGAACCGCUGGUUUGAGGGACAGCUGAAGGGGCCCAAGUCUGAGAAGAAGAAGCGCAGGCGGGGCAGAAGAGAGGAGCCCGAAGGUGGCAGCAAGCUGGCGUGUGGGGGAGCUGGCACGCAGGCGCCUGUGGAGGUGGUCAAGGAGGUGGUGACCGAGGAUGGGACCGUGGUCACCAUUAAGCAGGUGCUCUCCGCCCCAGGCUCGGCAGGGCAGCCCCAGUCUGAGGACGAAGACAGCCUCGAGGAGGCUGGCAGCCCCACACCCGGGCCGUGUCCUCGCUCCAACGCCAUGCUGGCCGUGAAGCACGGGGUGCUCUACGUCUACGGGGGCAUGUUUGAGGCUGGCGACCGCCAGGUCACCCUCAGCGACCUGCACUGCCUGGACCUGCACAGGAUGGAGGCGUGGAAGGCCUUGGUGGAGAUGGACCCAGAAACUCAGGAGUGGCUGGAGGAGACAGACUCGGAAGAGGACAGUGAGGAGGUUGAAGGUGCUGAGGGUGGAGACGAGGAUGAGGACGAAGACAGCGGAGAGGAGAGCGGUGCGGAGGACUGAGGCAUCCCCCUCGGCUGAAUGUGUUUCUCUCUCAUUCCUUCCUCCUUGUGUAUCAGAAGAGCCCCCUCCAGGGGCGCCUGGCAAGUGCUGUGCCUACGUCCGCCCAGGACCCAGCCAUGUUGGUUGAAGCUCUCGGGGCCAGCCUGUGCCCUGACACACAGGAGAGAGCUGAAGACCCAGAAGAGGGCCCUGACUUCCCAUCCAUCUUCAUACUCGGAUCAGCCUUUGACGUCUGGAAACUGAAAAGCAGGCCAGGGCCAGUGCACGCCUUCCCUGUUCUCGUUCAUGUACGGCACCGCUGGCCGACUCCACACGGGGAUCUCCUGGUGGGUCCCUCGUGCAGCGGCCUCACUCCUGGGAGCCCCGUGCCCCCGCAUGGUCUCUGGUGAGGCCCUGGUGGUCCCUGUCGGGUUUAGGGUUUAGGAUUAGCAUUUGCAGAGCGACAGGAUGGGAGGCCGGAGGCUGAGGGCUCCCAGCGUCCCCAUAUGGCUGCCACCAGGUAUCUCCGGCCAGCUCCUCCUGGCUCCCGCGCUGCAGCGCCCUUGCCCCCGAAGGCUGUGGUGCGCUAACCCCCACCCGAGGCCUGCUCCAGUCCAAGACUGAAGGCCGGUUCAGAUUUGCAUAAUUGGGGUCAAAUGUUGAGCACUGAAACCACACCCGGUGCAGUUUUGUGGGUGUCUUAAAUAUUUUGAACAGUGGGAAUAUAGGAUCCUUAGCUUUCUGUAAUGGGCCAACAUAACUGUGGUCCCUUUUCUUAUCUGGGAGUUCAAAACAAGGGUGGUGGGGAGACUCCCUUCCUGGCGGAACCAGUGUUGAGCGGAGAGGACUAGAAGCUGACUUGGCAGCGAGCAGCUGUGAGCGCCUCCCUGCUCCCUUGGCCGAUUCGUCCUCAUGGCUCCAGGUGGGCCCAGGAGUACCCGGGUCACCAUGGGGCAGUGGCUUCAGAAGCGUCAUCUCUCAGGAUCACCUCAGGGGCACUUGGCCAGCUCUUCCCCAGCAGGGGCACGUGCUGAGCUCCCUGGUGAGCCAGGUGUUCAGGAGGCCUCGGCGGGCGGGUGGCACUUGAACUGGCCCCGAGGGCCCUGCCCGCUGCCAUGGGUGUGACCUCACUUCAGGCUUCUGUGGUCACUUGACCGAAAAGCUGAUCAGAAAGGGGAAAGAAAGGGGAAGGCUCUGAGCACUGCCCGUUCCCUGGUGGGGACACCUGUCUGGUGCGUCUGGAUGUGUGGGUGGCACUGCCGACGGGUGAGGCUGCAGGCGUAGCCCCCCUGGAGGGCUGCAGCUCGUGUUUGCGUUGUGCUGGCUCCCCUGCCAACCCCCGAGGGCUGCAGCUCAUGUUGGCGGCGUCGGGCUUUGGUGGCCGGUUUGGGCACUUUGUCUCGAGUGCGGGGCAGGCAGGGCUCUUUCCUCACGCUCUCGGCUGAGCUGGUUGGGAGAGGCUCGGGCAGGGCUGAGAAGCCGGAGCGCAGGCAGCAGCGUCCCCGCCCCCACAGGCUCUGCGGCUCUGGCCCUUGUCCAGAAGAUGGACCCCGUUGUGUGGCCGGUUCGGUCUUCCCUCCUGCUCUUGGAGGAAGGAAUGGAAAGAUCUUGUUGGCUUCAAUGCAGUUGUCUGUUAUCAGAGAUUUUCUUUCAGAGGAGCUUGUAACUAAUUAAAUGGGAUUCCCAGGAAAAAGGUACUUUUGAAUCAACCAAGUUGAAAGACAGAUGACAGCAGCCCUGAGGAAGAAACUUCUUGUACACUUUCUUAUACAGAAAGCAUUUUGCUUUUGUUGCUAAAGAUUUGAUUUGAAUGAAAGAUACUGAUCAGAACCAAUGGGGAUCAGACAGACAAGCUCCCAGCAUGGAGUGGCUGCCACGGCCGUGAUGAAAACAGCAGCGCCCCUUCAGUGUGGAACCGCGGGAGACGCGGAACGCAACACAGGGUGGUGGCUUCCUGUGCAGGCUCUGCCUGCCCCACGGGCCUGUGGUCUGCUUUGUCUGCUAGAGCCCAGUUUAUUGAACCACUUGGUGGCCAGGCAGCCGCCAUAGGGUGUGAGCAGCCGGCAUGAAAGCCCAGGGCCUCUGUCUCCCGGGAGCGGCUGGGACAGCGCGGCUGGGACACGCCAUACUCGGUGCCACAUUCACCUCCAGUUCCUCGGUGUGGUGAGCUGCUGGCUGUUAGGAAGGCUUUCCCUCGGCUCCGGCCCCCCCACACGGCCCCCGGACCCCAGACUGCAGGGUGGGCGGGCAUGUCAGGUGAGGCGCUCUGGCCGGCCCACUUGGCAGCAGGGCCACAGCUCCUCGCAGGGCUUUGUGGGAUUUCGAAGGAUGAAUCAUCUUGUUCCCCAUUCUCCCCCUGCUGCCCAUGCACGUCAUGCUCUGUGUGAGGAUGUACUGGAGGGACUGGCCAUGCGCGGUGGCUUUUUUCGUGGUUGGGGCGGGGGGGUGUUGGGUGGAAUGAACAUCAAGGGAACUACCCAUUGAGCUUAGAAAUCCUUGCCAGGCAGUUAGUUUGUGUUUGUUUUUAGACGAGAGUAGUGUUGACUGCAAUUUGACAUCUGAUUUUUUUUUUAAUUGAGUUGGUAUAAGCAGGAUGUCAUUGGCUAGGUGACAGUUACAGAGUCACUGAGGGACCAAAUGCCAAGAUGCCUGUUGGUGAGAGAGACCCUCUCCAGAGUUUUCCAGAGGCGACUCCUUCCACGUGACGUUCAGGCUGUGACAAACCCCGUGCCCACGCUGCCUGCACUGCCGGGAGACUCAGGGCUGGGGGGGGCAUGCCCCGGCCACCACUGGUGAGCCAGCGAGACUGAGGACCCCGCACGUGCUGACCCGGGGACACCGCGGAACUCACUCGAGACUGAGGACCCGGCGUGUGCUGACGCAGGGACGCCACGGAACUCACUCGAGAUUCCUGCUCACAGCACGUUUCCUGCUCGGAAGCCAGGAGAGCCUCCACGUGCCACCCAGCUCUGUCCACGUGUCCAUCACACAGCUCUGCAGCAGAAGGAACUUCAGUAAAGAUGAUGGUUUGUAAUGAGACAAGCGUUCCAAAGUGUCACACGACAUUGUUUAUUACUAAAAGGAGCAGAAUUUCUCUUUAA